AAAAAGUGUGUGACAAAAAACAAAAACAAACAAAAUAAAAUUAUAGGAAAAAUAUAACAACUACAUAAGUAUAGUUUAAUUUUAUCCUAAACCUCUAUCCAUCAUUUCUUACAGAUAGUACAGGGUGAGGGUUCACAAAAUAGGGAACCAGGGGUGGAUACAGCCAUUUUGAAAAGGGGUUCCCUACCCAGGAUAAAGGGGGGUUCCAACUAAAUGUCCCCUUUCAAAUGCAUUGAUUGUCCAUAAAAAGGGGGAUUCCAAUCCCGGAACCCUAUCCCUGGAUCCGCCACUGGGAACUAUGGCUAAAAGUAUAAAAAAAAAUUGGAGAACUAUGACUAAAGGAACAAAGAAUAGAGAAAAUUGACUGUAAUAAGGAAUAGAGCAAAUGACAUGCUAGUCAAAAUAAUAUGACGUCUGACAAGGCUAUUUUAUUUUUUAUCUGGGACGCCUUCCUACGCAUCCCAGAAAAAAAUUAUAAAAUAUCCUAGCCAGACGUCAUAAUUAUUUGAACUAUUGAUGUGCUAAUUUAUAUAUUGAGAAAAGAGAAAUGAUGGACAAAAAGUAUAAAAAAAAAAUAGA
RNAcentral lists this long non-coding RNA (579 nucleotides) under Mytilus galloprovincialis (Mediterranean mussel). Lineage: Eukaryota; Metazoa; Mollusca; Bivalvia; Mytilida; Mytilidae. The record is from RNAcentral.